UACAGAUACUUAAGACUAUGAUCUGGGGGUAGAAAUAUGGUGAUUGAAAUAACUUUAUUUUAUUUGAAUAGAUCAAAUACUAGGUCUUGAUGUUUUCGUGAAGGCCACGAAUAAAGGAGGCUGAUAAUAACUAGCAAGGCUAUUCCUUGAAGUAAAUACAUCACAUGAUAGUACCAAGCAAGCAGUUGGCACUUAGCUGCGGAGAAGAACUUGACAAUUUUGUUUGGCCAAUUGAAGUUCCCUUAAUUGGAAGAUUUUGUCUACCAAAGAGUCGUUGCAGUGUAGAGACAGUAAGAAAAUGUCAGCUUGUCUAUUAUGCCUACAAUUACAAGAAAGUAGACGAACGAGGCUUCAAGCACAAUGAUACAGAUUCAUAGUUUUGACUACAAGUCUGAGAGGAAAGAGUUGGAAGAAAGAACUAGAAAAGCUAAAUGUGAAAACAAGUC
Solanum tuberosum (potato) is the source of this 446-nucleotide long non-coding RNA. RefSeq lists it as uncharacterized. The transcript is spliced from 4 exons. NCBI's taxonomy places the organism in Eukaryota, Viridiplantae, Streptophyta, Magnoliopsida, Solanales, Solanaceae. The record is from RefSeq and is a predicted model, not a curated record.